GAUGAACGCUGGCGGCGUGCCUAAUACAUGCAAGUCGAGCGAAUGGAUUAAGAGCUUGCUCUUAUGAAGUUAGCGGCGGACGGGUGAGUAACACGUGGGUAACCUGCCCAUAAGACUGGGAUAACUCCGGGAAACCGGGGCUAAUACCGGAUAACAUUUUGAACCGCAUGGUUCGAAAUUGAAAGGCGGCUUCGGCGGUCCCUUAUGGAUGGACCCGCGUCGCAUUAGCUAGUUGGUGAGGUAACGGCUCACCAAGGCAACGAUGCGUAGCCGACCUGAGAGGGUGAUCGGACACACUGGGACUGAGACACGGCCCAGACUCCUACGGGAGGCAGCAGUAGGGAAUCUUCCGCAAUGGACGAAAGUCUGACGGAGCAACGCCGCGUGAGUGAUGAAGGCUUUCGGGUCGUAAAACUCUGUUGUUAGGGAAGAACAAGUGCUAGUUGAAUAAGCUGGCACCUUGACGGUACCUAACCAGAAAGCCACGGCUAACUACGUGCCAGCCGCCGCCGUAA
This 515-nucleotide ribosomal RNA is filed under the name uncultured bacterium. RNAcentral describes it as "partial 16S ribosomal RNA". It matches the Rfam family "Bacterial small subunit ribosomal RNA", at positions 28 to 523 of the family's 1533-position model. The record is from RNAcentral.